GGACUACUGGGGUUUCUAAUCCUGUUUGCUCCCCACGCUUUCGCGCCUCAACGUCAGUAGUGGACCAAGAAGCUGCCUUCGCCAUCGGUGUUCCUCUUGAGAUCUACGCAUUUUACCGCUACUCCAAGAAUUCCACUUCUCUCUCCCACACUCUAGCAUGCCAGUUUUCGCUGCAGAUCCUCAGUUAAGCCGAGGGAUUUAACAGCAAACUUAACACGCCGUCUACGCGCCCUUUACGCCCAAUUAUUCCGAAUAACGCUUGUACCUCUCGUAUUACCGCGGCGGCUGGCAC
RNAcentral lists this ribosomal RNA (292 nucleotides) under uncultured bacterium. Its description in RNAcentral is "partial 16S ribosomal RNA". The record is from RNAcentral.